CCGCCCCCAGAGGGUUUUAGCUGCCUCCAGAAGAAAGAAUUUCACUUGAGACACGGCAAGUGCUGGUAGACUCGAGUCUUCCCCCCAACAGCAGCCAUCUGCCCACUCUCCUGACAAGAGUGAAGGAUAGAGGGUCUCCCCAGUGUUACAGGGGGAGGGAUGUGCUUUAUUAAUGAGGAGACCAGGGCCCCGAGAGGCUCAGACUUCAGUCACAUGACUGGAAGGGGCUCCCCCAGGGGCUGCCGUCCCUCGCCGUCAUGUCGCUGCACAUGGUGGACGGCAGCUUUGCUUGCUAUGGCAUCGGCCCCCAUGGGGUGGGUGCCAGCCCCUGCCCUCUGCCACGUGCAAGGUGGCCCUCGGUGAAGCUGGGAAGGUCUGCUCAGGCUGCAGACCCAAGAGGUGAGUUGUGAGCGGCAACUGCAUUCCCCAGGCGCCAGCUCUCGAGGGCAGUCUCGGGGAUGGUGGCCAGCCCUUCCUCCCAGGACCCUGCUCCAAGCGUUCAUCCUCAGGAUGCUGAUUUUGUCCAGCAAACAGCAGGGUGGGCCCAGCAGCGGGGGUCCUGAUGGUCUUAGUGGGAGUUUGCAUUUUUAGGAGGGUCAGGCCAAGUCAUGCCAGAGCCCCAGGACAGAAAGCGCUCAUGCAAGCUGAGCACCCCCACCCAUGAAGCUGUGACCCCUCAGGCAAAGGCGGGGCACCAGGGCCACGAGGGGGUGAAGAAAAAACAGACACGUCCACUCAGCUGCUCUUCUGCUCUCCUCUUCCGAAACCGGGAAAUAAAGCCACUCCCUGGUCCUUUUUCCUGAGGCCAAAUGGGGCCACACUUUGCUCCUACCUGGUAGUGGGAGAUCGCUUUGUCCUCUCACAAUGGACAGCGUCAAAAAAGGCUGCAUUCCAGAACCUCAGAGUGUGCCUGCAAGACAGAGCCCCAAUCACACUCUCUCCAAGGGGAGGCGGGGAGGACACGGGUUGUGGGCCCCUUGAGGGAUAAACAAGGGCAGUGUCUCACAUCUGUCUGAGCUUCUAAGAAGUCUCAGAGAGAAAAGUUUGCCAAGUGACAAUGAAAAGACAGCAGCCAAGUCAAGGACAGAGGAGCUGAGCUGAAUCACCAGACGGCGGGACAAAGCGGGCCAGCUUCUCCCCAUCCUCUGCUUCCAUGGGAACCGGGUCCAGCCUCCUCAAGGGCCUUCCUGACAGCUCCAGCCCUGCCCUCUGCCCUCUGGGUCCCGGCAGCACUCCCUGGCCAAGCUCCUCAAGUAACCCUUGCUUGGUUAACGGGCAAAAUGCACCACAGACAACUGUGAUCUUCAGGGGAGGGAGGGCCUGUCUGACGCUGAUUCCAGGUGCUAGCAAAGCACUCUAAAAUAUGUCGAGGAGAGGCUUCAGAGAGAUUAACGCAGCACGACCAUCAUCUGCGGAGCCGGGCCAUAUGCCAGGGUGGCCGAGAUUUCCCCUGCAACACUGGUCUCACACUUCAACCAUGACCUCCAUUCACGUAUAUAUAAGUAAGAGCUUAAUUAGGAUAUAAUUCACAUGCCAUGAAAUUCACCCUCUAAAACAUACAAUUCAGUGAUUUUUAGUGUAUUCACAGAGUUGUGCAGCCACCACCAUUUCCAGAACAUUCUCUCACCCCACAAAGAAGCCCCAUCCCCAUCAGCAGUCACGCCCCGCUCCCCAUUCCCCACCCUCUGCCCGGGCAAUCAGUCAUCUGCUGUGUCUCUAGGAAUCUGCAGUUCUGGACAUUUCACAGGGAUGAUACAAUACUUGGGCUUCUGUGUCUGGCUUCUUCCACUGAGUUUCACGAUGUUUCCCAGGUCUAUCCCCGCUGCAGCGUGGAGUAGCAUGCCAUUGCUUUUCAUGGCUGGCUAAUAGUCCAUGCAACGGAUGGACCACAUUUUGUUUACCCAUUCAUCACUGGACAGCCAUGAAGGUGGUUUCCACCUCGGGGCCAUAAUAAACGACGUUGCUACAGACAUUUGUGUACAAGGUUUUGUGAGGACAUGUUUUUCUCUUGGGCGACUCCUAGGAGUGGAGCUGCUGGGUCACAGGGUGACUCUGUGUUUCACCUUUAAAGGAACUGCCAGACUGUUCCUCAGCGGCUGCUCCAUUUACAUUGCUCCUAGCCAUACAGGAGAUCUCCAGUUUCUCCACAUCCUCACCAACGCCUGUGAGUGUUCAUCUUUUUAUUCUGCCCCCCUGGUGGGUGUGAGAAUUCUGCCAUUCUGAUGGGGACAAAGGCAGCUAGAAGUGAUCCCGGGGAGUGACUGCUGUCCCCAUCAGUAAGAGGGUGAUGGGAAGCCACGGGCUCGGCCUUACCAGAUGGGCUGUUGCUUCAGGGGCCCCUUCAGCUUGGUCUCCAGCCCCCCGAAGAAGCCCUUGACAUUCUCA
Molecule: long non-coding RNA, 2385 nt
Filed under: Pan troglodytes (chimpanzee)
Lineage: Eukaryota; Metazoa; Chordata; Mammalia; Primates; Hominidae
Description: long non-coding RNA NONPTRT006426
Source: RNAcentral